UACGUAGGGUGCGAGCGUUAAUCGGAAUUACUGGGCGUAAAGCGUGCGUAGGCGGUUCGUUGUGUCUGUGGUGAAAGCCCCGGGCUUAACCUGGGAAUGGCCAUGGAAACUGGCGAGCUGGAGUGUGGCAGAGGGGGGUGGAAUUCCGCGUGUAGCAGUGAAAUGCGUAGAGAUGCGGAGGAACACCGAUGGCGAAGGCAGCCCCCUGGGCUAACACUGACGCUGAGGCACGAAAGCGUGGGGAGCAAACAGG
Molecule: ribosomal RNA, 253 nt
Filed under: uncultured bacterium
Lineage: Bacteria
Description: partial 16S ribosomal RNA
Rfam family: Bacterial small subunit ribosomal RNA
Source: RNAcentral